Molecule: ribosomal RNA, 253 nt
Filed under: uncultured bacterium
Lineage: Bacteria
Description: partial 16S ribosomal RNA
Rfam family: Bacterial small subunit ribosomal RNA
Source: RNAcentral
GACGUAGGGCGCGAGCGUUGUCCGGAUUUAUUGGGCGUAAAGAGCUCGUAGGCGGCUUGUCGCGUCGUCCGUGAAAACUUGUGGCUUAACCACAGGCUGGCGGUCGAUACGGGCAGGCUGGAGUUCGGUAGGGGAGACUGGAAUUCCUGGUGUAGCGGUGAAAUGCGCAGAUAUCAGGAGGAACACCGGUGGCGAAGGCGGGUCUCUAGUACGGUACUGACGCUGAGACGCGAAAGCGUGGGGAGCGAACAGG